Molecule: long non-coding RNA, 336 nt
Organism: Ruditapes philippinarum (Manila clam)
Lineage: Eukaryota; Metazoa; Mollusca; Bivalvia; Venerida; Veneridae
Exons: 2
Source: RefSeq, a predicted model, not a curated record
UAUUCAAGGUGUACUAUCUCAGUAAGGUAUAGUGCAAUGGCUGAAUUGAUGUAUUUAUGUAUUUCGCGUGUUGUUUAGUUUAUUUAUUAAAGGGAAAUGCCGGUCAGACUGAUCUGUUUUCCAACUUGUUAUUUCACACUUGUGCAUGUAUCAUUACAUUGUUUACAGCAGUUAACAUCACAGUGAGAGGAAGCAGUGUUGUGUGGAGAGAGAAUUAUAUCUAUUAUCUAUAUAAGGGCAGUGGUCCCAUAGACCAAGCCUAUGUAAAGUGUAAAGUGGAUUUACUAUGUCUCUACACCUAGAUGCAAUAAAGUCUUAAAGAAUACAGUGAUUGAA